GGAAGGAUCAUUAGUGAAUUUGUAGCCUUCAAGGCUCACAUUCUCUAUCCUUUUACACACCUGUGCACCCUUCUGAAGCGGAGAGUUAUUAGGCGUUAGCCGAGCGCCUCCCUUCGGUUAUUAUAUCAAACUCUAACCACGUUUACUAGAGCGUAUUACCGUCUUGUUGUAACGACAAGUACAAUCCAAUAAAACUUUCAGCAACGGAUCUCUUGGCUCAGGCAUCGAUGAAGAACGCAGCGAAAUGCGAUAAGUAAUGUGAAUUGCAGAAUCCAGUGAAUCAUCGAAUCUUUGAACGCAACUUGCGCCCUCUGGUAUUCCGGAGGGCAUGCCUGUUUGAGUGUCGUGAACACCUCAACCCUCCAAUGUUUUUUUUUGCAUUGCAGGUGUUGGUAGUGAGCGCUGCUGGUCUUUGGAUCGGCUCGCUUUAAAAUCAUUAGCUGGAUCCAUUCUGACCUGGUUCUACUCGGCGUAAUAAGUUAUUAUCGUCGAGGACGCCUGGCCUUUGUAGGCAGGGCGGCCACAGUAAGGGUGUUUGAACCGCUUCCAACACGUCUUGCUCUUGUAGCAAACACUUGAACCUCUGACCUCAAAUCAGGCAGGACUACCCGCUGAACUUAAGCAUAUCAAUAAGCGGAGGAAAAGAAACUAACAAGGAUUCCCCUAGUAACGGCGAGUGAAGCGGGAACAGCUCAAAUUUGAAACCUGGCGUCCUUCGGGCGUCCGGAUUGUAUUCUAGAGAAGCGUCUUCCACGCUGGUCCAUGUAUAAGUGCCCUGGAACGGGCUGUCAUAGAGGGUGAGAAUCCCGUCCUUGACGUGGGCUACCAGUGUUUCUGCGAUGCGCUUUCUAAGAGUCGAGUUGUUUGGGAAUGCAGCUCAAAGUGGGUGGUAAAUUCCAUCUAAAGCUAAAUAUUGGCCUGAGACCGAUAGCGAACAAGUACCGUGAGGGAAAGAUGAAAAGCACUUUGAAAAGAGAGUCAAACAGUACGUGAAAUUGCUGAAAGGGAAACGCUUGAAGUCAGUCGCGCCCCCUGGAAUUCAGCCCUGCUUUUGUAGGGUGUACUUUCCAGGGGGCGGGCCAACAUCAGUUUUGACCGGCAGAUAAAGGCCGGGGGAAUGUGGCUCCUUUGGGAGUGUUAUAGCCCCCGGUCGCAUAUGCCGGUUGGGACUGAGGAACGCAGCGCGCCCUUGUGGCAGGCCUUCGGGCACUUUCGCGCUUAGGAUGUUGGCAUAAUGGCUUUAAGCGACCCGUCUUGAAACACGGACCAAGGAGUCUAACAUAUCUGCGAGUAUUUGGGUGGCAAACCCGAGUGCGCAAUGAAAGUGAAUGCAGGUGGGAAGCGCAAGCUGCACCAUCGACCGGUCUGGAUUUUUAAUGAUGGAUCUGAGUAAGAGCAUAUAUGUUGGGACCCGAAAGAUGGUGAACUAUGCCUGAAUAGGGCGAAGCCAGAGGAAACUCUGGUGGAGGCUCGUAGCGAUUCUGACGUGCAAAUCGAUCGUCAAAUUUGGGUAUAGGGGCGAAAGACUAAUCGAACCAUCUAGUAGCUGGUUCCUGC
This 1557-nucleotide unclassified non-coding RNA is filed under the name uncultured fungus. RNAcentral describes it as "sequence contains 18S rRNA gene, ITS1, 5.8S rRNA gene, ITS2, 28S rRNA gene". The stretch from base 585 to 1557 matches the Rfam family "Eukaryotic large subunit ribosomal RNA", at positions 1 to 961 of the family's 3401-position model. Lineage: Eukaryota; Fungi. The record is from RNAcentral.